UGAACGCUGGCGGUAGGCUUAACACAUGCAAGUCGUGCGAGAAAGUAUCUUCGGAUAUGAGUAGAGCGGCGGACGGGUGAGUAACGCGUAGGAAUCUACCUAGUAGAAGGGGAUAGCCCGAGGAAACUCGGAUUAAUACCGUAUACCUCCUUAGGGAGAAAGAGGGCCUCUCUUGAUGCUCUCGCUAUUAGAUGAGCCUGCGUAAGAUUAGCUUGUUGGUGAGGUAAUGGCUCACCAAGGCUACGAUCUUUAGCUGGUCUGAGAGGACGAUCAGCCACAUUGGGACUGAGACACGGCCCAGACUCCUACGGGAGGCAGCAGUGGGGAAUAUUGGACAAUGGGCGCAAGCCUGAUCCAGCCAUACCGCGUGUGUGAAGAAGGCCUUCGGGUUGUAAAGCACUUUAAGCAGGGAGAAAAAGUUAUAAGUUAAUACCUUAUAACCGUGAUGUUACCUGCAGAAUAAGCACCGGCUAAUUCCGUGCC
Molecule: ribosomal RNA, 483 nt
Filed under: uncultured Pseudomonadota bacterium
Lineage: Bacteria; Pseudomonadati; Pseudomonadota
Description: bacterial SSU rRNA
Rfam family: Bacterial small subunit ribosomal RNA
Source: RNAcentral